Molecule: long non-coding RNA, 301 nt
Filed under: Nicotiana tabacum (common tobacco)
Lineage: Eukaryota; Viridiplantae; Streptophyta; Magnoliopsida; Solanales; Solanaceae
Description: long non-coding RNA (NTAB_LNC001553)
Source: RNAcentral
GCCCCCCAAUCUGCAUCGCAAUAAGCUGUCAGAUUACCAUCACCAGUUGAGGGGAGCAACAUCCCUUGUCCUGGUGCUUUUUUGAUGUACUUUACCACUCUCAUUGCUGCCUCCGAAUGGAAUUAUUUUGGAGAGUACAUAAAUUGGCUAAGUGUCUGCACAAUAAAGGAUAUGUCCGAUCUAGUCAUUGUGAGGUAUAACAACCUUCUAACUAGCCUUUGGUACUUACCAAAAUCUUUUAAGACUUCAUCCUGACAUCCUUUUUCUUGUGCAGAUAUCAGCUUAUCAAAGUCUGUUGAGG